CUCCGGCCAGCUUGAGCAAUGUAGAUCCUGAUGAGCGCUCCCAGGCAGGCAUUUGCCCCGGUACAACGCCUCAUCAGAGCGGUGCAUGGCAAGCCCACAUGAAGGACCAAUGCAGUGGCUGAACACUGGGAAGGAACUGGCACUUUAAGUCUGGACAUCUGAAACUUGCAUGCUGCAGCCCCUAAUGAAUGAAUGAACCCAGGUAUCACAACAAAAAAGAGAGACAAAAAAAAUCAUGUGCCUCCUGAUGAAAGAACACAACUGCCACCUCACCUUCUCAAAGAAGCCAAACCUGAAUCUGAUCAAGCCACUGGAUCCAGCUGCCAAUUUGCAGGAAAUAUAGGACACAGGAACAUGCACAAUGGAUUGGAUUGAAUGAUACAGGGAUGGACAGAUAUGUGAUAAAUCAAAUAGAGCAAAAUGGUAAUUGC
Molecule: long non-coding RNA, 431 nt
Filed under: Homo sapiens (human)
Lineage: Eukaryota; Metazoa; Chordata; Mammalia; Primates; Hominidae
Description: non-protein coding lnc-GPR101-3:3
Source: RNAcentral